This 393-nucleotide ribosomal RNA is filed under the name uncultured Gammaproteobacteria bacterium. RNAcentral's name for it is "bacterial SSU rRNA". It matches the Rfam family "Bacterial small subunit ribosomal RNA", at positions 370 to 779 of the family's 1533-position model. The record is from RNAcentral. Lineage: Bacteria; Pseudomonadati; Pseudomonadota; Gammaproteobacteria.
AAUGGGCGAAAGCCUGACGGAGCAACGCCGCGUGAGGGAUGAAGGCCUCUGGGCUGUAAACCUCUUUUAUCAAGGAAGAAGAUCUGACGGUACUUGAUGAUAAGCCACGGCUAAUUCCGUGCCAGCAGCCGCGGUAAUACGGGAGUGGCAAGCGUUAUCCGGAAUUAUUGGGCGUAAAGCGUCCGCAGGCGGCCCUUCAAGUCUGCUGUUAAAAAGUGGAGCUUAACUCCAUCAUGGCAGUGGAAACUGUUGGGCUUGAGUGUGGUAGGGGCAGAGGGAAUUCCCGGUGUAGCGGUGAAAUGCGUAGAUAUCGGGAAGAACACCAGUGGCGAAGGCGCUCUGCUGGGCCAUCACUGACGCUCAUGGACGAAAGCCAGGGGAGCGAAAGGGAUU